CGGUUCUCCCGUCUCUCCCGUCUCUCCCGACCCGUCGACACCCACGGUUCCACCUAACAUCCUUUCUCUCCUGCUCUCUCCUAUUUCGAACCCGUCUCCGCCGUCUCGUUUUAUCGCUUCAUCUCCUUCUCCCAUGUUUUCUCCCUCGAGCCACGUUUCUCUUUCUACGUGUGUGACCGAAGGCGACCGACCGAGCGCGGCCAACUCGAGCACGACUGGCUCUCCGCUCUGACUGCUGCAAAAAAUAUUCCGCGUGCAUUCACGCACACGUGCUCGCGCGUGUUGCUGCCGCUGCACUACCGUGCUCUGCUCCGUUUUGCGCUCUCCUUCGCUUUUUCACCCUUUUUUCUUUCUUUUCAGUCUCUCUGACCAAGCGAAAUGACGUUCGGUCGCGCAACGGCGAACCUCUGCCGUUCCUCUUUGUGCUUUUUUACCUUUUUCCACCGAACCUGCUCCUUUAUUAUGCAAAGUCCUCUACCGCGGACUCGGCGACCGUGUAACGUUCGCACACACGUGCGAACGUCCUCGAAAUGGACGCGAGUUAUAUCUGUCGUGCCUUUCUCUCUGCGUGGAAUCGGUGCUCUGUACCUCGAUUCACCGUGCAUCGCUAUGCGUUCCAUUGUGCAUCGCACGGUUUUAUUUACAGUGUCCUUGCUCUGUACGAUGGCGGCGAGGAAAAGACGGCUCGAGAUUCGUGCUCGAUCCACGCAUCUCGUUUACAUUUACGCCGCGUGUUUCCGCCUUCCAUCUCAUACACCGCUCGAACUAUGCUCGGGGUAUUACGUAAAGCGAAAUUAUUUUCCACGGACACACGGGUGUGCUUUAAACAGGUAUCGCACGGUGUGUAUCACGCGUUUGACGGUACACGCUCCGGCCGAUUUUAUCGGGACGAUGAAACGUGGGAGUUACGUACAUAGGCACGACGAGUAAUCGUGCGACCCGAUCUGCCAACUUCCCAUUCGGAAUCGAGCGAAGCGAAGCGAAGUGUGCGACGUUCCUCUUAAAUUAACCGCUCUUCGUCUUCGUAUCUCGUAAAAACGUCCUUUCGAUUCCGUACAGCCGCAGAUGUCUCCCAUUUUCACUCGCUCUAAUCUGCCCGUUAUCUCCGCUUAUAAUCCAACACGAUGCCACGAGCGAGCUAUACGUAUAUGUAUAUUCACAUUCAUAUCGAAUCAACUUCGUCAACUUCGACGCUCGUAAAGAUAAGAUGAGGCUGGCUCUUAUCGGAAGUCAACGGCGAGGCUAUAUUUACAUGCCGUUUCGAACGGUAUCUCUGUGUUAAAACGCCGCUGCUCGUGUAUCGGUCACGCUGUUCCGCGUGAAAAAUCCGACACACACGCGUGCGCCUGCAGUUUCUUAAUAGCGCGCGAGUUUACGCGACUUUUUACGCCUUGGGCUUGCGAAAGAAUCUUUUCUUAUCCGAGCGCGGCCGUGCUUCGACCCGACAAUUUAUCACCGUGUACCGGUACACGGCUCGUUAUGUCCGUCCCGGACGCAAUUUGCGCCACCUUGGCCAAUAAAUAUCCUCUAUACAGACCACGACGUUGCUCGAACGUUGGUCCAUGCGUAUUUGACGAUCCCUCCGAAUCGACGCAUUAAGCGUCAGCGUUCCUCGAUGACUAAUCCCGUCUCGAACCCUUUCCUUCGGGAGCUCGAACGACUCGAAAACGCGUACAUCGAUGUCCGAAGAAAAUUCUCGACCAAACGUAGCGUACUUCUGAGUCGACUUUCAUUUCCAUUACAAAGAUUCAUCCAGAUUUUUACAUAAUUGCCAGAAUAUCUGAUCGUAGAAUGCAAGUCCAUCGAAGAGCGUGUAUCGCGAAUGAAUAAAUGGAUCUCCAUGAAUUUCAAAUGCCGAACGGAGCUUGCGAGAGAGAGAGAGAAAGAGAGACACGCUUGUCGCGCAAAAUAAUCUCUAUAAGUAAUAAUUAGAGGCUCGUUCGAGCGUGACGAUUCAUGUAAAUCGAAAUCGUUUGACUUCGAACCCCGUGUAACCAUUAUCGGCUCGAAGGUUGCGUAUUAAUUAAUCACGAAUCUCGAGACGAGACACGGCAAACUCGACAAAGCGGAAAACAAGGCGCGCUUACACGCAUACACGUAAACCCGAAGAGAAGAAUUAUUCUCGCAUUAGUCGCGAAUUAACUACAUGGAAGACCGUACGGAAUAUUCCAGCAGACCUAUUUAAUCGGAGGAACAAACAGGAUCUCCCUGCCACUGGUAAAUAAUGGCACGCGGGAAACCGGCGGAAUAGCUAUGUUCCAGUGGGCUUUGUAGUAAGUAGCUGGGCAAAGAGAGAGAGAGAGAGAGAGAGAGAAAGAGAGAGAGGAGGUUGCUGCUGGUUUAUGUAACACGCCCGAAGGGGAACAUUAAUGUGCCCGUUUCGAGUGUCUGCUGUCUCCUGCAUUCCCGGCAGCUGCCUGCGUUUUGCAUGUGCACCCUGCACCCGCAUGCGUUGCAUCGUUCUGCCGCGUCACUCGCACGCACACGCACUCUGUUCGCAUGCGAACGCACUCUGCAACCGUUCAAGGACAAAGAUUUGCACGAGUAAGCCCGCAUUUCGUGUUCGAAAUCCAUCUUUUUCGCCGCAUUACGCUAAUCGAUCGUUCGAAACUUCGUCAAUUAUGUACGUCGCUUUAAAAUUUAAUGGCGGAAAUGAAAUAUAAAAAUGGAACGGGAGAUGAGCGAAAAUCGAUUCGCGUUUAAAAGUCGCGACAAAAAUAAUUCCAGCCCGUGCACGUUAAUUAAUAGCUCGUAGAGUUGAUGAUACGAAUAUCGAAUUACGCGAAACGAGGUGUUAAAUUGCACGCUCUCGGUGCGAUCGUGUUAAAGGAGGGGGAAAAAAAAGGAGUCGAAAAUAUGCUGUCCCCUUCAUUGACACUCUUCACGCAUUGGACACGUACGAUAGCUUAUCGGGAGAAUGUGCAACAGCGGCAUUUUUAUGCCGGUGUCACGGCUGACCUUGUCGCUUCAGGUAUAUCAGGCACGCAUGCACAAACACGCAUACACGCGCUCCCAUCUACACGUGCAGUGUGCACACACAUUCGUGGUGACGGGUUAUAAUGUCCAACAACCGGGGAUCGAUAAACUGCUCGCAUAUUUCUUGCUCGUAUUCCCGGACGACGAGGAAGCUUACCGAGUAGUCAGACUCGUCACGUUCUCCGAGAAUCGAUGCAUAUUUCAUGCAAUAAUUCCCGAUGAAUGUAGGCUACGAGUUUAGCAAAAAGCUUGUUGCAAUCUUUGCUCCGCCGGAUCCGUUCAAUUAUUCAUCAAGUGGAAGGCAAUGAAAAGAAGAAUCGAACGAGCCCGCGUCAAAUUUCUGACGGCAUCCUCUUGGCCCGGUUUGCCGAUUUAACAAAAAAAACGCGAUCGCCUCUGCCGAUUGUGGGAUCGGGACCUCCAGACCCUAAUAAUAGGAGGAAUUAUGGGAGUAGACGAUGGCGGGCUGGCACUGGCGAAGUAGAUAAGGCGAGUGACUACAACGCGAAGGACCUCGGCUUCGAUUCCCAACGGAAUCCCUAUUUUCCACGGAUUAUACUGUAAAGUUGAUAGAAAUAUCAACUUUAAUAUAAAAUGAUAUCAUUUGAAUGGAAGAAAUUGCUGACAAAGACGAGAGAUAUCCCAUCGGUAAGGAAAAUUAAUAGGCGAAAGGACCGGGUAGGGUCAAAAUGACUCACUCGUAACUUUCCAAAAGUAUAUUUUCGAUACCGAUAAGUAUUAUCGUCCGUAACAUUCUGACUUUGUUUACUUGCAUUUGUAUCGAUACGAGAUAAAUUUUUCGAUUGCGUUAAGUAAUUCUCAUCGAGUAGUAAUUAUUAAUUUUCUUCAGCAUGUACGGAGAUAAGAAAAUCAUGCGAGUCAACAUGACCCGGUCGGUCCUUUUAGGUAAACAGAACCUUUGAUCUUUCUAACGUCGAGAAAAGCAGUGCAGCGUAUCGGAGGAACUGCAGUACACCAGAGGAAGCCACGAAAGUGCAGUGCCCGAAGAGUUAACAACUAGCAUUUCAACAAAGUUAAUCAAACAUUCUAUUUACCGCGCAAAUCGUUCACGUGACACAGAAAUGGAUCCCGACGUACAUUGGACAAGGGGGGAAAGGGAAUAAGUAAAUUCCGAAUGGUUCGAUUUUGUCGCAAUAAAGGACAAAUGGCCUUGAUCGAGGUUGAGCCCUGAUCACACGUACAGGGUGAAUAUCUGUGGACGCGUGCGCGCCAACAAGCGCACACUGGUUCGCAGUGCUCACGUGUGCAUCGAGCACAAAAGCCCUUUGUACGCGUUCAGACCGGUGACUAUCGAUUCGAUCUAGUGUCGGCUCUUCCGUGGGUGGACGAGAACGCGACCAUGCUCCACCUAGCCGUUUCACCCCGUUUCUGCUCCCUUUUUUUCCCUCUUGUUUAAUGCACUUUCUAUCGCGGCACGCCCGGCUUUCGCCCGUUUCCACGUUCAAGAAUUUGACAAACCCUCGAUGCAACAGACGAUAAACUUUUUCCGUAAUUUAUAGCCGAUAUGCAGGCGUAUUGCCAGGCGAAAGAGACUCUAUAGACCGAGUUUAAGAGUCAGUGACGUGUUCUAAUACGAAUGGCGAGGAAAUAUUACAAUGGCUCGACACGGCUACCCGUAGGAUUAACUUCCACAACCUUCGACGGUAAUUGUAGAGUUGACGAACGUCUCUCUGGCCACCACCAAGGAGUAUUAUCGACACGAUCGUAUUAAGUUUCAGCGCAUGAUCGCUUAUGCAUGAGUAGAACGUUACGUCGGUCGCCAACUUUGAUGAGCUGGCGCAGGCACACUCUUCCAAUCGCGAGUUCGCCGAACCAACUGAAAGAAAUCAUCCGUGCACUAGGAAUUCGUCUGAACAACGUGAAAAAUUUGAAUCCUGUUCUCCUAUCGAGAAUAUAGGAAAGUUAAUGGAAUUCGAGGAACUGAAUUCUCUCCCGGGCCUCGUUAGCCUGGAUAGAAAGUUACGGAACUCGUUAAACGCGCUUCCAAUUUCCACGACGAGUUUCUCGACGAUAUUCCGAGCUUCUUGGAAAUUUCACGGGCCUUGGAAUCUGUCGGAGCACGACCUUGAAAAGGUCGAUCCGCGAGACUAAAGUUGUAGGAAAGUUGCGGGACAACUACAGCAGGGAGAAGCUCGAUCCUCUGUUAUAUUGUUACCCGGGACCGUGCCACGACCUCGCCGACACGAUUCCCUCCGUUUUAGGAUCGACAGGGUAUGCGAGGUAUCACCGAAAGGCAACGAGCUCCGAAUGCAUUCCGGUUGCACUGUGGUAGGGCAGAUGCAGGGAUCGUUAUUUCCAAGAUGGCCGGUACACUCGCCAUGCGACCCCAAUGCGUGUAUACCUUCUUGCACGUCACAGACGAGUGAUUUCUGCAGGGCCGUGCAAGACCCGGUACUUUGGAAAUUUUAUCACAAGCACGUUCAAUUCUCGUGGCAUUUCCAAAAUUCAAGUCCUGAACGUUUCCCAUAGAAUGCGUUUCGUUUUGCACGGAACACUGGUGUCUCACACGUUGCGACCUCGGUGAGAUUACCACCAGCCGACUCUAUAUUCUAUCCCAGUUACCUCGAUGUUGAAAACGUGCCAAUAAAAUCUACCUCUCUGGCUGUGCAACGCGCAGAGUUGACCGCAGUGCGUUGAAGAGUAAAGUCGAUCAAAUGGUUGCCAGAGAAGAAACGAUCCGCGGAAAAAACUUUCGCGAUCGAAGUGUCGGUGCAACAGCGGCAACGGUAGGCAGUGCGAGCGAGGGAAAAAAAUAAAAGCUCAUUCCGUGAGCUGUCGGAGGAACGCAGCUCGUGUGUGCAGCCUCUCACGCACACGCUUCCUGCAUCGUCACUUGAUAAUACGAUGAAGGUAGUUAGGCGCACAGCCGCAGAAUGCGAAUGAUUUUUCGCAACUUCGAGGAUACAGUUUCGUUCCCAUCGUUCGGGUUCCACGCAGCCAGGACUGGGAGAGCGUAUCGCGGGAAAAGAGAGAAAAGGGGGAAGAGCGAGACGUCGCGGGGAGUAGCAGCACCUCGUCGACCCGAGGAGAGGAAUACGCAUGCGCGUUUGCACGCUUGGGAGCGCAUUUAAGCGUCUCCCGGGGACCAUGCACCCGCCGCAUCGCCGGGGCACACGCACUUUUACAUCGUAUACGCGUGUAGGUGCAUUUACGAAGCUCGUAUGGUAUCCAGCCGUGUAGUCGCGUUAGGAGCCGGUGGCCGAAGCGGAGCAGCUCGAAGAGGGAGAAAAUAAUGCGUGUCUCGACCCAGCGAGCAAGAACGAAGGCAAGAGUGUUUUCUGUAGAAGGUCAACGGUAUCGGGCACGAAAGAGACGCGCAUGCCGAUGAAUAAUGGCGAGAGAAGGUCGGAGGCUAACGAUACUCGACGAUGGACGAACGAUCCUCGAAACGCUCGAAGAAACGAGCACGAAACACUGACCGUACUCGUGAUGAGAACGUACGAGCUGGCUCCGUAUCGAUAAGAUUUAAAUCGCCUCGAAUAUGACUCGUUCUCGUUUAACUGGAAACGCAACGGGAGACAAAGUCUGGCUAUCGUUUUCCACGAUUCGAACGGAACAGAUGGCACACGAUUUCUAUGAAAAGCUCGAUGGUCGAUGCAUCGAUCCGUGGUUAAAGCACCGGCUGGCGAGGGCACGUAGGUGAAUUUAAACAAGAUUGGUCGAACGGUAGCCGAACGACGCGGCAUUUCAACCGGUCGUAGCCCAUUUAAAUAUCUUCCUUUUCCACAUUUGCAAACAAACGCGGCCACGUCCGCGGUUUCCAGCCUCGAUAUAAAUUAUUCAACCGGCUAUAUCUGUCCUGCGGUCGUUAGAUAGGAAUCGUUCGAACGACGGCAGAAUCUCGUUUCUAGCUACGAAUAUCCUUUCCCUCGAUACGUACGUACACGCGUUCAUACACCUACAGUGUACCAACAAGCUAACUGCUUGGCUGGCUGGCUGGCAAACGCGCCUCCUUCUCUCCCGUUCAUUCUCUUUCUCUCUCGGUACACCUAUACCGUUAGGAUAACAGCCAACGACCCAGAUCCUCCCAGAGGACCGGCGCCUUCCACCGGGGGAUCUUUUUUAUCCGUACACCAACCGACCAGCACCGCAACCGAUCGCUUCGAGGAAGCGUAGCCACCUAGGUGAAAGCGUAAUAUUCGACCAAACCCGAAAGAUACAACAUUUAUCUACAAAGGAGUAGAAUUUUCAGGGCAUACGAAUUGUAGUCUCGUUAUUCGAUGUAAUAAAAAAAAAAUAAAAAUUUGUUCAAACAUAACCAGAGUAAA
Long non-coding RNA from Osmia bicornis bicornis, 7265 nucleotides. RefSeq lists it as uncharacterized. Lineage: Eukaryota; Metazoa; Arthropoda; Insecta; Hymenoptera; Megachilidae. The record is from RefSeq and is a predicted model, not a curated record. The transcript has 2 exons.